AGAGUUUGAUCCUGGCUCAGGAUGAACGCUGGCGGCGUGCCUAACACAUGCAAGUCGAGCGAUUCUCUUCGGAGAAGAGCGGCGGACGGGUGAGUAACGCGUGGGUAACCUGCCCUGUACACACGGAUAACAUACCGAAAGGUAUGCUAAUACGAGAUAAUAUGCUUUUAUCGCAUGGUAGAAGUAUCAAAGCUUUUGCGGUACAGGAUGGACCCGCGUCUGAUUAGCUAGUUGGUAAGGUAACGGCUUACCAAGGUGACGAUCAGUAGCCGACCUGAGAGGGUGAUCGGCCACAUUGGAACUGAGACACGGUCCAAACUCCUACGGGAGGCAGCAGUGGGGAAUAUUGCACAAUGGGCGAAAGCCUGAUGCAGCAACGCCGCGUGAGCGAUGAAGGCCUUCGGGUCGUAAAGCUCUGUCCUCAAGGAAGAUAAUGACGGUACUUGAGGAGGAAGCCCCGGCUAACUACGUGCCAGCAGCCGCGGUAAUACGUAGGGGGCUAGCGUUAUCCGGAAUUACUGGGCGUAAAGGGUGCGUAGGUGGUUUCUUAAGUCAGAGGUGAAAGGCUACGGCUCAACCGUAGUAAGCCUUUGAAACUGGGAAACUUGAGUGCAGGAGAGGAGAGUGGAAUUCCUAGUGUAGCGGUGAAAUGCGUAGAUAUUAGGAGGAACACCAGUUGCGAAGGCGGCUCUCUGGACUGUAACUGACACUGAGGCACGAAAGCGUGGGGAGCAAACAGGAUUAGAUACCCUGGUAGUCCACGCCGUAAACGAUGAGUACUAGCUGUCGGAGGUUACCCCCUUCGGUGGCGCAGCUAACGCAUUAAGUACUCCGCCUGGGAAGUACGCUCGCAAGAGUGAAACUCAAAGGAAUUGACGG
Molecule: ribosomal RNA, 879 nt
Filed under: uncultured bacterium
Lineage: Bacteria
Description: bacterial SSU rRNA
Rfam family: Bacterial small subunit ribosomal RNA
Source: RNAcentral